This is a long non-coding RNA of Cygnus olor (mute swan), 3022 nucleotides long. RefSeq lists it as uncharacterized. The transcript has 7 exons. NCBI's taxonomy places the organism in Eukaryota, Metazoa, Chordata, Aves, Anseriformes, Anatidae. The record is from RefSeq and is a predicted model, not a curated record.
UAUUAGCAGACACUUGUCCAGACUGUAAUAGAGAUCAUAGCUUGUUUGCUUGCCCAUGGCCUCAGCAAAGGGGUCAAGGACUGAGAUAGGGUGACAGAGAUGGUAUUCCUGCUUCCAGCCAGCAGUGCUGGAACAAUAGGCAGACAGGAGUAAGAGGCAGAACAGGGCACCAUGGUCUCUCCAGUCUCACACAGCAGUCACGGGAGAUGUAGUAGUAAUGUGCCAAGGAAAAGUGACCCAGGUAUGGUCUGUCUGUGUCACAUUCUCAAGCUGGGAAACCAACUCUGUACUUCCCAAGAAUAACCAGAGUACACCAGGCCACCCUGACUUUAGGACACAGAAGCUUUAUCAAACCUUAGCAGUGUGGGCUGGGGUUAGACUCUCUCCUUGCCUAUCCCUGGUUGACCGAGGCACAGUCAUUAGCAUUUCCCCUUUGCAGGUCCUGCCUCUGUCUCUUGCUCCUUCUCCUGCAUGCUCCUUCCUCAACUCCAUCACAGCUGCCAGCCCCCAGUGAAACCUGACUUUCUCACCUACAGCUUGCCCCCAGUUCCUACUGGCAAAAAGCAGGAAAGAAGAUGCUAAUCCCCUUCCAAACAGGAUAAUAACCCCAUCUGGGUUAUCUGGUGCCAACUCAGGAGAGAGACAGGUUGAGAAUCAGUCCAGCCUGCCAUAGUAAAUGCAUUUUGAGUCUGACAGCUCUACUUUAGCUUGGAUAUACUUUCCCCAAAAGUAGGGCAAAUUGUUCUCUGGAAGUCCACAGGUCCAUAUCUUGGCCACUGGAGUUAAGGAAGAUGUGUCCCCCUUCCUCAGCAAAUGAUUGGAUUAACCUCUCUGCCCACAAGAACUACACAAGGCAUGCCACGUGGGCUGCGCCUGUGCCACUCAGGGAGAGAUGCCCGGUGGUGGUUCUCCUGUGGUCAGGGGGGCAAAUGGACAUCAGCAAAUGCUGCCUCACUGCAGGAUACUCCUUGUGGUGCUCCUGCUGCCACUGGCCUUCCCUCCAGGAGCUCUUCUGCUCUUCUUCCUCCCUCCCUCUCAGUUUAUGCAAAGUAGCUCAUUAGUCCCAUUAGCAGCAGAGCACCAUCUCUGAUUGUUCAUCAGUGAUUCCUUUGUCGCCCUCCAUCACUCCUGUUGAGCCUCAUUAGUGCUGCUAGGAAGCAGGAGAACUGAUAGGAUAUUUAUAGGAAGGGUGGGGUGUUCUUUACACUACUGCUGGCUAAUAUCCAUUCUCUGCUCCUCACCCCUCCCCUCAUCCUAGUCCUCCCUAGAGAGCCUCCUCCUAAUGUGGGGAGUUGUCAAGGGGCUAUAUGAGACAGGACAGGACUAAACUGGUGUUUUUUAAGUCAGAGAAAUGAGAAAGGGAGCAGAGAAAAGGGUGAGUUGGAAGUAUGCAGAGCCUUAAUGCUUGGUCAGGAGCAUACGGGCUUACACAGGGCUGGGGACCUGUCAGGGGAGAGCUGAGCACAUGCCCCUCUGCACACGCAUGUUGGCUGGGAUGGCAGCCCACAAAUGAAUGUGAAGAGCUCAUCAUGUGCACACAUCCAUCGUGGGGAGGUCCGUGCCCUAGCUGCAGGCAGGGCAGCUUGUGCAUGAGGUGCCUCCAUCAGGGGCUGGGUGUGAACGGGCAUCCACACAGCACACCCACCUCCUGGUGCGUAAGCCAGCGGAGAGCUGUACCACGCUCCAACAGCCCCAGAGGGAGCAACCUCCUUGGUUACUUACAAGAAUAUUCCUUCAAGCAACACUUAAUUAUGGAGGCAACUAGACAGGGACUAAUCAUUCACUAUAAUACAGGGGAGAAUAAUCAGCUGAAGGCAGGAGAUAGUUUAUCUGGAAGAAGAGCUAGUGUAGGGAGGAAGAGACUGAAGAAGAACCACAGGACAAGGAGAGGUUAGGAGGAAGGAGGAACAAUACCCUAAAUCAGUUACCAAGUAUGGACACCUUUAUGACUUCAUAAAUGGAAUAUGCUUACUGUCAGCAAUCUUUGUCUUUCAGCAUCACAAGGACACCUCCCUAGCCACAGGCCACAGACCCUGAUCUCACCAGCAGUCAGAUCAGCUAAUUUAAUUGACUGCCCCGGUUAUGAAGAAUCAUGGUGUCUAGGAACCAGGGGUAAUACUUAGCAUGAUAUUGCUGUUUUCACAUCCCAGAGCUGUGCAAACAUUAACUAACGCUAACUCUAGUUAGCUGCAACUCACUGGAAGGCACCAAGACAUCCGUGCCCACAUGCUCCAGCCAGGACUGCUUGCAAAGACAGAAGGAUGAGUGACACAAGUUAACAAGUCAUCAUAUCUCACAUCUUUUGAGUUCUUCUUAGACUGGGUGUUUUGAGAAGCUGUAAGGAGUGCUGUGUUCCUGAUGAUCUUCUAGCGUAGGUGUCACCAACGCCUGCCACUCCUGUCCUUCUGCCACAUCCUCUGGUGCCUUUCAUGCCCAUUCAUACCACUCUCAAUGUUUCUGUUAAAUGUCUACAAUAUCUCUGGCUAAGGCACAGUGCCAGCCCCCACACCUUACAUCACUAUCCUUGGAAGAUCCUAUAAUAAAGGACAGACAUUUAAAAUGUGCUGCAUAUUUAGCUAAAGAAAAGCUGUUUCACUCCCUGGUGAUUCUUAUGACUGUAAGAAGCAUGUUCUGGCUGCAUGGUAACCCAGUGCAGAGAGUUUGUCAACAGGACUUUGGUCGCCAAGAGACAAGUGGAUGUGUAGAAAACCUCUCCCUUGGCAGAUCGCUGUCAAAUCUGGACUAUAGGCCACAGUGGUUGCCUGGCUGGAAGCUGGGCUGAGUGCUGGCAGAGGGAGGCAGCUCACUAGUGAGGCUGGGUAAGGUUUCUGUGCUUGAGAACUAUGGUCAGAGUUAAGGUUACAUGGUGUGUAAGACAGCAAGAUGGUUAGCAUUCCUUAAGAAGCCUUUAAAAGGUGUUACUUAAAAUACCCGUUAACCAGGAAGACGUGCUGCAACACACACGGAUAAAAGAGCUUGGAUUUACAGGGAAAAAUAAAUGAAAAACAGCAUCACCCAGGAA